CCUACGGGUGGCAGCAGUGAGGAAUAUUGGUCAAUGGGCGGAAGCCUGAACCAGCCAAGUAGCGUGCAGGAUGAAGGCCCUACGGGUUGUAAACUGCUUUUAUACGGGAAUAACGCGCCUUACGUGUAGGGCUUUGCAUGUACCGUAUGAAUAAGGACCGGCUACUUCCGUGCCAGAAGCCGCGGUGAUACGGAAGGUCCGGGGGUUAUCCGGAGUUAUUGGGUGUAAAGGGAGCGUAGGCCGCAUGUCAAGCGUGCUGUGCAAUGUCCGGGCUCAACCCGGGCCUUGCAGCGCGAACUGGCGUGCUUGAGUCCGCGGAAGGCAGGCGGAAUUCGUCGUGUAGCGGUGAAAUGCUUAGAUAUGACGAAGAACCCCGAUUGCGAAGGCAGCUUGCUGCAGCGGAACUGACGCUGAUGCUCGAAAGCGCGGGUAUCGAACAGGAUUAGAUACCCGUGUAGUC
This 460-nucleotide ribosomal RNA is filed under the name uncultured bacterium. RNAcentral's name for it is "partial 16S ribosomal RNA". It matches the Rfam family "Bacterial small subunit ribosomal RNA", at positions 338 to 795 of the family's 1533-position model. The record is from RNAcentral.